CCAAUUAAACCUAUUUUCUUUAUAAAUUACUGUCUCAGGUAUUUCCUUAUAGCAAUACAAGAAUCACUCAAUACAUACUGAUAUCAUGAGUUUCACUGGACAUUUAAAAUAUUUUCCUCAUGAGGGAAAAUUCCCACCUUGACCUGACCUCUCAUCAGUUUUAUGUAUCUGCAGAAAAAUCCUUCUAAAAGAUUGAGAUGAGCAACAAUAGGACAAACUUUCAAAUGGUACUGUUGACUGAGAAUACAAUGGACAAUGCCAAACUGUUUACAGAUGUUAUGCUUGGCCUCUUUCCCAGUGCCAGAUAUUUGUAUGAAAGAUGAAGAGUAUAAUCUAUUUACAUACAGUGGUUUUCCUCCCCAAAACUUUUGAGCUUUGUUAUGCUUUAAUAACCAUAUGCUCUUGAAAAUUGAUUUCUUUUUUGAAGACCAUCUGCAUCUAUGUAGCUAGGCACCUAUUUCUUCCAUUUCUUCAAAACUGAAUGUUGCCCUCUUUUCACACUGCAUUCUCCUCACACUACCAGUGCCCCAGUGGAUUAUGUUUUGCUACAGUGAAGGAAAAGAAAACUCUGAAAGACGUAGUGUAGUUGCUGUAGUUUGAAUGUAUUCCUCAAAGUUUAUCCCCAAUGCAACAGUGUUGGCAGGUGGGGUCUAGUAAGGUGAUGAUUAGUUAUGAGAGCUCUGCCUUCAUGAAUGGAUUGAUGAUGUCAUUAUCACAAGGGUGGGUUGGUUACCAUGUGAGUGGGCUUGUUAUAAAAGCAAGUUCAGCCUCCUCUUGCUCUUGCUCUCUUGCCCUUCUGCCUUUUGCCAUGAGAUGACACCAGAUGCAGACCCCUCAACCUUGUACUCCUCAGUCUCCAGAACUAACAAAAUACUAAUUUUGACACAGAUAGGACUCAGGGAAGUCAUAUUCUUAAGGCGGUGGGAGAAGCAUGAAAUGCAUUUGCAGUGGCCUUGGGCCAUUGGUGGUGUCCGCAGGUGAGACAUCUCGAGUGCCUCAUGGACAAACUUCCUCAUGGAAUCCACUGGAGCAAUUAUGAGAGUCCACGGCCUCUCUUCUCUGGUUCUACCCUCUCCCAAUCUCUCACCUGUGCCGAUCACCUCAGUAAUUUGGAAACGGGCUAAGGAGGUCUCUCUUGGCACUGAGCUGUGACACCUUGGGGGAGAAAAAGUGCAGGACCAGAAAAUCUUUCUCUUCCAGUCAGUGUCAUUCAUUUAUGACCAGCGGUUGAAUCCAGUCAUAAAAUCUGAAGCUCCUGGGUACCUCUACAUCACUGGGCCUAUGAUACACUGUUUCAGAACGUACUUACACAUGGGGUGGGACGAUUUUCUUAACUAAUACUUGUGACUACUCCACAGCAAAGCUGGAAACAAAAGUAUUGGGUGAGCUAUCUUCCAAAAUCUGGAGAUGGUUUCGGAGAGAGUUUCAUUGCCAUAAAUUUAAAGGGGGAUUGGAUUUACUCAGGAAAAAUUACAAGUGAGCGUAGGAGAUAAACUAGUAAAUGCCAUAUUUGGCCCACCAGGCACAAAGAAGGGUUAUAAUUGGCUCCUUUAAGUCCUAUAUGCAGAUAUCAAAUCCCUAUACUUGCUCUUUAUUGCAUAGAAUAAAUUUACCUCACUCCUUACUUUGAAACAUGAAAUGAGGAUCAAAUUAUAGUUUCAAUUAUUGCAAAUAGUUGUACAAAUGAAAAGAUUGUCUUAUUGUGGGCAUUACACAAACCCACCAAGGAAUAAGUAAUCUUUAAAUUCUAUGAAGUGAUUUGUAAUCUGAUACAGUAAGAAAAAAAAAUCUCAGACUUUGAUUAAUUACCACCACGCUCACCGCUAUAUCACUGUCCAAUGUCAUCAUAAUUUCACUGCCACUUAAAACUACACUUCAGCCAUAGAAAGCCAAAAAAUUAGGCACUGGUGACCUGUCCAAAAGAAAAAAAAAAAAAAAGGAACAGGAAGUGGAGAAAUACCACCUCAUAAAUUUCACCCAACCACAUUUAACAGCCACCUGGAGUUCACACCAACUCACUUGGAUCUCCUAUGACGAAUAUGCCUCUAUCACAAUGUUGAGGCCACUGAGUUUCUCAUGUACUAAAAUUUGGCUUAAUGUGGUUACUCUUUCUCUCUGGGAGUUUUAAGAACAACUUCAUGGUCAUAAUAUUCUCUUUAAUAAAUAUGAUUCAUCUGAAUGUUAGAUUCCCGUUUAACUACCACAAUCUUCAGAAGAAAAGUUAUAGCUCUUACUGACUUCAGAAGCUGCUCUGGAUGACUUUAUAAUUUAUCAUCCAAAUGGAAGACGUUUGAGAGCGAAAGGAUACACUAAAAUAAUUAAAUGUAUACAAUUUUUGGAAAAUGUUUAUUGCUUAAAAAUAUUGUUUAUUGUAUGAAAUUUUGUAUAUUUAUAUUCAUGUGUCUGUAAAAACAAUUCUAUUCAAAAAUUACUUUAAAAAUUCUUUAAAGAUACAAAUAUAUUUGUAUACUUUAAAACAGGUUGAAAUAUUGAUUAUAUAAACUAUUAGAAAGUUACAUAAGCAGAAAGAAUAUUACCUGCACAUAUUUAUGUGCUUUAAUCUGCUCCUUAGCUGAAUCUGUCUCUAAUGUGUUUUUUAAAAAAUAUUUUUAAAUUAUUUUUAUUUUUCCUAUAAAAUUGUCUGAAAUAUUUGAAAUUUGAAAAUUAAAAUUCUUCAUUUAAAAAUUUGAAGUCACUGAUAUCCUUACUCACUAGACACAUCUUUGUAAAAGAACCAAAAAAAUAAAAUAUCUGUAAAUGUCCCAAGGGAACUGCUUAUCUCCAAAUAAAUUCUGCUAAAUGUGAUAUUAUCUCAAUUUCAAUUUAUUUUAAGCUGAAAUGCAUAAAUGUUUCAGCCCAAAUAUUUUCAUGGGCACUGCCUCUUUUGCCUCCAUGUAGCACAGCUUCUUCCAACAAAUUUUUUUUAAGACAACACUUGUCAAAAAAGUUGUAUCUAUUUAUAAUAUUUUUGAAAACUUCACCAAAUUAAAGCGCUGAAACAUUGUAGGCUUUGUCAAUUUUCUUUCAGUCUGAUACAAAAUACCAUUUAUCCAAUUAAAAUUAGGAAAUCAACAAAUUCUUUCCACAAGUCAGAUGUUCCAAAGCUGUUAUGUAAUUUCAAAACUAAAUGUUAGAGCCUCUUGUGAGCUCAUUCUGCAGUUCGUUCAGCUUCCCCUUGCUUUUGUAGAGAUAAAUGUUUUCCUGCCUGCAAGAUAUUGUCUUCAAUAUUUUCAGUUUGCAGAAAGCUUCAACCAGAAGUUGCUGUUUUUUCUUGCCACACCAUUUUUAAAUGCGUUGUUUAAAAAUUUUUCAGCCGAUUUUGCAUACAGUGCAACCAAAAGUUAGAUAACUCAUUUAUCAAAAUAUGAAUAUUAUUGUAGGACAUUAAGGUUGAUUUAGAAAGUAGUUAUUCAAAUGAUCAAACAUUCCUAAAAUCUUACUGAUGAGAGGCUGCAGAAAAAGCAUACCGUUAUGCUGGAGAUUUUUAAAUUCAAUAUUAGCUUUAUCACAAAAGUUUAAUUAUUCCAAUUGUGUAGAUAUAAAAAUAUUUAUGGAUUUUGACAUCUUUAGCUUCUAUUUCAAUUAGUAGAUUUUUUUAAUUAAACUUAAGUUCUGGGAUACAUGUGCAGAACGUGCAGGUUUGUUACAUAGAU
RNAcentral lists this long non-coding RNA (3653 nucleotides) under Homo sapiens (human). RNAcentral's name for it is "HSALNT0336799". Lineage: Eukaryota; Metazoa; Chordata; Mammalia; Primates; Hominidae. The record is from RNAcentral.